Molecule: long non-coding RNA, 1354 nt
Filed under: Anas platyrhynchos platyrhynchos (common mallard)
Lineage: Eukaryota; Metazoa; Chordata; Aves; Anseriformes; Anatidae
Description: lncRNA (ENSAPLG00000028577.1)
Source: RNAcentral
UCUGUGUCCAUGGAUCAUAUUAACUCAGGCUCUUCCUGUUAUAUCAUUGUGGUAGGAGGGUCUCUGUGCUAUGUAGGAGAGGAGAAUAGAAAAAGGUAGGAGGGAAGAGGGUAUUUGAUUUAUAUGUGACUUAGAGGCUUGGAAGGACUAGGGGCUUCAGUAAUGUACAGGCUGAUCGACAGCUGGUGUGUGUGUGUGUGAAAUAAAUGUUAUGGCCCUCCCAUAUGUAUCAUGUUACUUUCUUUUACCAAGAGGAACUGAAAGCAGUUAUUCAGGUGAGCUCUCUUGUUAGAGCCAUCCUGUGAAGGCCCAAGACCCAUUCUAAUGCCCUAUUUUCACCUCCAGUAAAGAUCAACUCCUUAGCCUGGCCCAGUCCAUGUGUCUAUGUCCUUAUGUGGCAGGACUGAGGAGAAGGAAGAGAAAGAUGAAUGAGGCAGGAAGAGAAAGAUGAAUGAGGCAGGACUGCAUUUUUCUGAUAAGGAACUGCUGCCUUCUGCCUUCAAGCAGUGCCACCUGUAACAGCAAUGGCAUUCUUAAAGAAAGACUGACACAACUGGUCACGUGGCAUCUCUGCAUCAUUCUUAUGUUUUUUUAGCUCACCAUUGUAGGUGUAGUUAGGCCUUAGAAAUAUGAAUCUCUUUUGCAAUAAGUGCCUUGAAAGGAAGUUGCCAAGAUACAGUGAAUGGAGUCCACAAAUCCAGUACUGAUCUGAGAAGGCUGAUCUUCCUGUGCUUGGAGUCCUGUUUCAUAGAGAUGACCACACAUGAAACUAGGUUAUGCUCAGCAAAUAUGUCUGAAUAUAUUGAGGUAAAUUUACUUGACAUAUCAGACUUUGACAACAUAAAGAAAUUUAUCAUUUGCCUACAUAUUAUGAAUCCUUAACUUGUAUACAGGUUUACAGCUGAAUAUUUCAGAGUGCCAGGCAUAAAACAUAAGUUCAGUGCCUUGAGUGUGUCUGAGCAAGCAACAGGCUUAGGAGUGGCUAACGUAGACCUGUGCUGAUCAGGCAUAUCCAUAAACUUGGAUCUUAGUGUGUCUUUCUUACAGCCUUCAGCUAAGUGCAGGAGCCACUCUAAGGGUGUAUCAUUAAAGACAAGCAUUAUCGCAAUUACAAGCUGAAGAUAACAAAAGGCUUUUUAUAUUUUCUUUAUUUCUGUCUAGCUGUGCAUGUGUUUCCAUCUUUCAACUGUACUCUCUUCAUCUGAUUUAUAUCAUACAUUAAAUGUUAUCACAAGUCAUGAAUUGUUCUCACUUUAUGUUUAUUACUGCAGAUAACUAUUAUCUCUCACAGUCCUGUUGGCUUUAUCUCUAUCUCUGUGCAUUUCAGUGCCUCCUUUAAUUAUUUAAUUUUAAG